GUCCCAGACUCCUACGGGAGGCAGCAGUGGGGAAUAUUGGGCAAUGGGCGCAAGCCUGACCCAGCAACGCCGCGUGAAGGAAGAAGGCUUUCGGGUUGUAAACUUCUUUUCUGAGGGACGAAGCAAGUGACGGUACCUUAGGAAUAAGCCACGGCUAACUACGUGCCAGCAGCCGCGGUAAUACGUAGGUGGCAAGCGUUAUCCGGAUUUACUGGGUGUAAAGGGCGUGUAGGCGGGAAAGCAAGUCAGAUGUGAAAUCCGGGGGCUCAACCCCCGAACUGCAUUUGAAACUGUUGGUCUUGAGUAUCGGAGAGGCAGGCGGAAUUCCUAGUGUAGCGGUGAAAUGCGUAGAUAUUAGGAGGAACACCAGUGGCGAAGGCGGCCUGCUGGACGACAACUGACGGUGAGGCGCGAAAGCGUGGGGAGCAAACAGGAUUAGAUACCCCGGUACA
Molecule: ribosomal RNA, 452 nt
Filed under: uncultured bacterium
Lineage: Bacteria
Description: bacterial SSU rRNA
Rfam family: Bacterial small subunit ribosomal RNA
Source: RNAcentral